This is a long non-coding RNA of Mastomys coucha (southern multimammate mouse), 877 nucleotides long. RefSeq lists it as uncharacterized. The record is from RefSeq and is a predicted model, not a curated record. Lineage: Eukaryota; Metazoa; Chordata; Mammalia; Rodentia; Muridae. The transcript is spliced from 4 exons.
GACUGAGAGAUGGAAUGCUGGAUUGGAGGUCAAAGAACAGACGUUAGAGAAUUCUUUAAAUCAGAAUAAAGAAUCUUCAGAAGAAUCCAAUUUGGAAUCUACAAGAACAGCAAAAAGGGUAGUCUCAGAUGAGAAGAAUCCACAAAGACUGGAGCCUACAUCCAGGAAAUUUCAAAACGGCUAGCUAGAUGGUCCAGCAUCACAAACUAUUCCAGCUGAGACUUCAGUGAAACAGGUCUACUCCUGGAAACACCUAGAUUCUACUUCAAAGAUGAUAAUGGGCAUCAAAGAACCUUCUUCUGGACUUUGCUUCAUGUGUGGCAAGCUAGCCACUGGGCAAGAAACUGCCCUUGCUUCAACUGCUGAUGGUAUGCUGUUUGAACUGGAAAAAAGAGAUGCAGGGAAGUCGACUGCUGAGAUUCACCAAGACAGGGUAACAAGUCCUUCAUAUUUCCUGCUUCACAGAAAAGUCUGUCAGAUGUUCUGGGUCAUAAGGUCAUCGAUGAUACUCCAAAACAGAAAUUUGGACAGACUAUCCAGGCAACCAACUUUCUCUGUCAUUUCCAUAGUUGUGGAAGCUGCUUGCCUGCACUUCUGAAAUACUCAGCUUAUCUGGAUGUACAGCUGCAUAAUGCUUGGCAUGAUGAUGCACUGAGCAGGCUAAAGCAGGAAGACGGCAGGGAUUCCAUGAUCAGCCUGGACCGCGACCGGCAAGUGUAAGACCACCUAGAGCUACUCGCUAACAUCUUGUCUCAAACAAACAGUACCACCACCAAUAACUCUAGAUUUUGAGGGAUUUUCCCAUUUUGCUCUAAAGAUAUCAUUCCAUAUUUGCCUUGGUACCUGUUAAUAAGAAAUCUGUUUUAGUCCACUGUCA